This is a long non-coding RNA of Sinocyclocheilus anshuiensis, 688 nucleotides long. RefSeq lists it as uncharacterized. The record is from RefSeq and is a predicted model, not a curated record. Lineage: Eukaryota; Metazoa; Chordata; Actinopteri; Cypriniformes; Cyprinidae. The transcript is spliced from 3 exons.
CCCUCGUUAGAGCCCACUGUGAUCCCGGCGCUCGUUAGUCCCGCGGGUGAUUAAUUGAAAUUAAUUGAAAAGCCGGUGACAUUUACCAGCGUGCUUGAGCGGAAGUAUCGAGAGAUAAUCUCGCAGUCGUGAUUUUGGAGGUAAAUCUGCGGCUGUGGGUCUGAUUGAGGUCACCGUCAGCGGCUUCAAACUCACUGAACAGAAACACUUACUGCUCCGAGUACCGUGGUAAUGCUGUUUUACUAGAUAGACUGACUGCUGAUGGAAAAGCUCAAAUGAGUUCUGCUAGAAGUCAUGAUGUGAGCUGCUGUCAGACUACUGAAAAAUAAAGAGACUCUGAUGAUGAUCCUUCAGCUUCCUGUCGCCGUGGUAGCAACAGUCCUCUUUGCAUACGAUCGGUCUGUUGCCAUGGCAGCCGUGAUGAGCCGGGAGGAACCGUGGCGACCCCAGCGAGAGACCGUCUGUAUCUGUUACCAUGGAGCCCAGCGUGAGUGUAGCAGCGUCAAACCUGUUCAGAUUCAAACUCAGAAAGAUGCUAAUUUGCUUAGUCAAGGUUUUCACUGUCCAAAAUCUCCUUGACACUAAUUUACAGAACAAAGUACAAGUCAAGCAUCACGGUUACUGUUGCUACAGUGAUUUGGAACGAACCUCAGACAUUAAAUACUACACAGUUUGUAUCAUUUGUGUU